UUUCCGUAGGUGAACCUGCGGAAGGAUCAUUAUUGAAUGAAACACUUCUGGCUCUAUGCUGUUGUCCUGGUCCUUUGUGCAAUGUGCACACGGCUCUGGUCACUUGUUUCUUCUGUUCCACCUGUGCACUUCCUGUAGACACACUGUGUCUAUGAUAUUUGUUAACCCACAACAAUGUUAGUUGGCAUGUUAUAUAUAAUAAUAAAAUAUACAACUUUCAACAACGGAUCUCUUGGCUCUC
Molecule: unclassified non-coding RNA, 241 nt
Filed under: plant metagenome
Description: partial contains small subunit ribosomal RNA, internal transcribed spacer 1, and 5.8S ribosomal RNA
Source: RNAcentral